This 734-nucleotide long non-coding RNA is filed under the name Panax ginseng (ginseng). RNAcentral's name for it is "long non-coding RNA (PGIN_LNC000243)". Lineage: Eukaryota; Viridiplantae; Streptophyta; Magnoliopsida; Apiales; Araliaceae. The record is from RNAcentral.
UGUGAAACACACAGACAGGAUGUUCCAACAUAAUAAUAAAAGAAUGUCACCAAGUAUAGGGUACAUCGCGUAUACAGGUUAUUCCAACAGAAUAAUAAGCAAUGGAAUAAUAACAGUUCUCUUCAUGAAUAAGAAAGAAUAACACCCCUGACAUUAGUAGGAGACUGAAUACUGCAGUAGUGUAGUAACAGAAUACUCUUCUUCUUUCUCUCUUAUUCUCUCUAUACUUUCUCUCUCUAUAGCUUGAAUGAAUUCGUGAAAAAUAAUGAAGCACUAGGCCUCUAUUUAUAGAAGAUUUCUAGCUUAGCACUUGCCAUUUGAAAAGGCAAGUGGCUUGACAACUGGUGAUGUGAAAAGAAAAGUGGCUUGAAGCCUGUAAUGUGAAACGACAAGUGGUUCGACGCCUAUAAUAUGAAACGGCAAGUGGUUUGACGUCUGGUAAAUGUAAUUACUAUUGACGAAGGUAAUUACUAUUGACGAAGAGACUCUUAGAUGAUGACAUAUGGGCCCCCCAUAAAAUAACCAAACUUACCACAAACGUCUCAUAAUAGACUCUUUAUAUACAUCAAGGAUUGAAUAAAUAUUACCACAAAUCAUUUUAUUUUUAAUCAACACAUAUUUAAUCUUUCAACAAUUAUUAAUCAUUUAUAACUUGUCGUCUCAAUUAUUGAUUUAAUAAUAUAACAUAUUAUACAGAUGAUACUGUGACAAUAAUUGAAUCAAUAAUAUAAGAG